AACGUUUGUUUAGUAGAUUUAUUAGACCCUUUAAAAUAUUUGAAACAGCGUGCGGCUCUUGUUAUUUGGCGUAACAGUGAGAUAUCGUUAAUAAGGUACAGAGUACGAAGCUCAAGGAGAGCGAAGCGAUCAAGAUCGAUUUAAAAUUCACAAUUCAACCGUUCCCCCUCGCGGUCUCGACUCGCUCCCUACGUUCUGCGAACGAAUCGGAUCGUGGUGCAAGCGCGAGUUCUCGUCUCGUCCACGUGUUUCGUCGCGUGUUCGCCAAAAUGGCGGGAACGCGAUACCAAUAGCUGUUGCGAUCAAACGCCGUCGAUCGAUCUCUAGCGACAUCGUAACGGAGAACCCAAUCUCGAACAUAUCGAGUUUAUUGCGGUGCUGGAUCUUCUUAAUUUUUACGUUAUUUUAGGUGAAGAAUACGGUGCAUCACUUAGAUUAGACGAGAGAGAGAGUAAAAUCGAAAAAUCCAUAUAUCUUAUGAGAAGAAAUCGAUUAUCAGCCGAUCGCCUUUCUUUUACAGUGACACAGGCGAUCGAGACAUCAAGAGACUCGAAUAGAGUUUAAUUAGUCGAGAAAAUCGUCGUUUAUCUGAGAGAUGGAGCACGAUUCUUGCGUUCUUUAAUCAACAAGAUCGUUUAAUUAGCGAUCGUGUCUCCGUCUCUCCCACCAACCUCUCGUGUCUUGCUUCGCGCGAAUCGCAAUUCGCAGAGAUUUAUCGGUAGACACUGUAGCGCAGUUAACGAAGGAAGUUAGACGACGCGUCGCUUGCUGGGACCUUAUGUUACACGAAACGCGAGCCGGUUCUCUCGCGUUCACGUUACACACUGCGUCGUUCAUUCCGCUUGCUACGAAGACGCUUAAAAAUAUCAGCACUAUGACGUCUGAUGGUGUAUCAACGUAGAUUUUCUUUCUUUAACGAUCGACUGUACCGUUGCAAUUAAAGAGGAUGGGAUGGGGAAAAGAAAAUCGUUCCUUCGCGUGUUGCUAUAAUAAAUCGAUACUCGUUGCUGCGAAUUGAUAAAAGAACAUAUAGACUCGAUCGAUGUAUCGUUGAGGCUGUUCGGAUAUGGGUAACGUAAAAUCACACCAGACGUAUCUACGAAUCUUGUGGCAGAUGAGAUUAGAGCUUGUCGUAAAGGUCCUCUGACAUUGGCCGAAGAUAA
This 1163-nucleotide unclassified non-coding RNA is filed under the name Bombus terrestris (buff-tailed bumblebee). RNAcentral describes it as "misc RNA ENSBTSG00005033144.1". The record is from RNAcentral. Lineage: Eukaryota; Metazoa; Arthropoda; Insecta; Hymenoptera; Apidae.